RNAcentral lists this ribosomal RNA (253 nucleotides) under uncultured bacterium. RNAcentral describes it as "partial 16S ribosomal RNA". It matches the Rfam family "Bacterial small subunit ribosomal RNA", at positions 524 to 776 of the family's 1533-position model. The record is from RNAcentral.
UACAGAGGGGGCAAGCGUUGUUCGGAAUUACUGGGCGUAAAGGGCGCGUAGGCGGCCUUCUAAGUCGAACGUGAAAUCCCCGGGCUCAACCCGGGAACUGCGUCCGAUACUGGAAGGCUUGAAUCCGGGAGAGGGAUGCGGAAUUCCAGGUGUAGCGGUGAAAUGCGCAGAUAUCAGGAGGAACACCGGUGGCGAAGGCGGGUCUCUGGGCAGUAACUGACGCUGAGGAGCGAAAGCGUGGGGAGCGAACAGG